Molecule: ribosomal RNA, 497 nt
Filed under: uncultured bacterium
Lineage: Bacteria
Description: partial 16S ribosomal RNA
Rfam family: Bacterial small subunit ribosomal RNA
Source: RNAcentral
GAUGAACGCUGGCGGCGUGCCUAAUACAUGCAAGUCGAGCGAACGGACGAGAAGCUUGCUUUUCUGAUGUUAGCGGCGGACGGGUGAGUAACACGUGGAUAACCUACCUAUAAGACUGGGAUAACUUCGGGAAACCGGAGCUAAUACCGGAUAAUAUUUUGAACCGCAUGGUUCAAAAGUGAAAGACGGUCUUGCUGUCACUUAUAGAUGGAUCCGCGCUGCAUUAGCUAGUUGGUAAGGUAACGGCUUACCAAGGCAACGAUGCAUAGCCGACCUGAGAGGGUGAUCGGACACACUAGAACUGAGACACGGUCCAGACUCCUACGGGAGGCAGCAGUAGGGAAUCUUCCGCAAUGGGCGAAAGCCUGACGGAGCAACGCCGCGUGAGUGAUGAAGGUCUUCGGAUCGUAAAACUCUGUUAUUAGGGAAGAACACAUGUGUAAGUAACUGCGCACAUCUUGACGGUACCUAAUCAGAAAGCCACGGCUAACUACGUG